UUUGAAUUUUAAUUAGAUUGUAGUUAUAUCAUAUUUUGAUAUAUCCUAUAUUUUUGAAUCAUAAACAGCCAUUUCUUAAAUCAUGCUAUAAUUUUUAACUUAAGACAGUGCUUUUAACUCUGCCUCUUUCUUCAACAAUCCUUUUUAUUUUUGCAUUUUCUAUUUUCUAGGAAAUACAGUUUUCAUCAUUUUCAUCAUAAUGGUUUCAUUAUGUCAAAAGUCUAUUGCUUUUCAGAUAUAAUUUAAAGUUUUCUUUCAGUAGAUUCUUCCUGGAUAGAACAACAAAAAAAGCCAGUUUAUAUUUUUGGCAGUGCUUGAUGGUUUAGGAAGAAAUUUUUCUAGAUUUUCCCUAAGUUCAUUAAGUACCUUCCAACUAACAGAGGCCUCCAGGCUUCUGAUAGCUCUUUAGCCCAAGGGAAUAGCAUUUCCUGGAUGAGCUCAUUUAAAACAAACAAACAGCAUUUUAAAUAGUAAAUUUUGUUAAUAAAAAUAACAAGAUGGUUACAAUGAUCGUAAUGAUCACAGUAAUGUGUUUCUUUACGAAUUUAUACUUAUCUCAUGGAGUAUUUUCCUGAGAAAUUUCCAUUGUAGCUAUUUGAGACAUAUAACUUAGUUAUAGCACACGCACUAAUACUAUAAUUUGUUUAAAGCUUCUUUGUAAUUAAAGAAAAAAUUCUAUCUAAUAAAGUAAUUUUUCCUUUUCCCCAGAUGGAUUAUUUAUUUAAUAGUAAUAAAAUUUUUAAAAAAUCACAAUAAUAUUACAAAACUGAAACAAAAUGAUGACUCUCCAAAGAAUGUUUUUAAGCAUAUCUGAUUUUGGAGAAUAUCCUCCAAUACUUCUUUUGUUUAAUCGUUUUAAAAUUUGUAGUCAUUAUGCUCUAAAAAUACAAAAAAAGAAAAUAAAACCACAAUGAAACACUCCCAUCUUUAUCUAUUGCUAUCACCGCUUUAUGUCUGUCUACUAAUUCAUCCAUUCUUCCAUUCAUCACCUACUUGGCUAUCUAUCAAAAUCAAAUCAUUUGCACAUAUCAAAAAAUGAUUCAAGGUCUUUUAAAUGUCAUAAAACCUGAUUAUUAUUUGCAUUUUAUUUCAGUAGUGCUACAUUGGUGAGAAAUGUCACUAGGCCCUCAUAAUUUAAACCCAUUAAAAAAGUAAAAAUGUUUCUGUUUUAAAUCAUAUUAAAAUGAUUAAGUUUUAAAAUAAUCAGCAUUAAAAUAUCUGCAUUAACUAAGUGUGAUUCCAAUUAAAUUAUUAUUGCAUUUACAGUUAGUACCUGAUGUGGAAGCAAAAUUUCAAGUCUAUGUGACACAAAAGUUACUUCAAGCUAAACAAUUGAUUAUUAUGGGGCUUAUUAUAUUUUCCUAGAAGCAGAAAGUCAUCAUGUUGACUGUAUUAUUUUCUUAUUAUGUAUAUUCUUCUGAUCAUUAAACAUAGAUGCUUUGUAAGGAACAGUAUUUUAUGAAUUAAUAUAUGUCACUGGUAAAAGGUGAAAGCUAUUAUCAACUUUCAGUCUAUUUAAUAGUUGAGAACAAUUGUAAAAGUGUAUUAUCGUUUUGAAUUUUGAUCAUGAGCCUGUUGAUUGCUAUUAAAAAAAAAAAAACUAAGCCUCUCUGCCUGCUACAAUUCUUCCAUCGGAAGACAGGGCUGUGAAAAUCUGCAAUAGACUUCUAUGUGACUUGAUGAAUAGCAAGAGAGCUUAGUGGAAAUGUUGAAGUCCUUCAUGAUUAAAAAGCAAACCUUUAAUGUAGUUUUUGUUUACCAUGUCAUAAGUGCAGCGUUGGAAGUUAUUGCCAAAGAGUCAUUGGAACAGGCAUCAGUGAGGCAAUGUCAGCCAGCCGAUGCUUUGAAAAUGAUUCAGUUCCUCUAGCCUUAUGACUAAAAUAAUAUCCAGUGGCUCCAGCCCCAAGCCUGGUUAAUGCAUCUGUCCAGAACACAUAAUUACUCGGUCAUAACAUUCCCCCGGCCACCAGCCAACAAACCAAUCAGCAUUUCUUCCUAACUUACCAGAAUUUUUGCUGUGUCAAACUGUUUGAUCUCUAGGUAGUAAAAAUGCAAAAAAUGGAAGGACACUGCACUGGAAGGUUUUAAUUUAGAAUAGUUUCUCAUGGAAAUUAAAUUUGAAGAGAAACAUGUUUUUGUCGUCAUGACUGAAGUUGAGAUGUUAAUUUGGUGUCCCUUUGCAAACUGCAUCAUUUGUUUUUUCAUCAGAAGCUCACAUUUUUAAUCAUUUUAGUGAGGAAAUAUUUUAACAACAAAAGAACAGCAAAUAUAUCUCCAGUGACUAUUAUAUGAUUUUGUUUCCCAAACAUUAACAAAUAGAGUGACAAAAUGUUCCUUUUUUGGUUAACAGUAAUAUUGUAUGUGCCUAUAUUUAUGUACAUGUGUAUAUGUAGAAUUCUUUAUAUCAUCUUCAAAGAGAAAUUAUGAAAGUAUAUAUGUAAUCAUAGAUGUGUGAGCAUAAUCUAGGUUUUAUUUUUUUACAAGCUCUUUAUAUUUGGAUAACUGUUAAUUCUUAAAAUUAAACUGAGGGGGAGGGAUAAAUUAGGAGAUUGGGAUUGACAUAUACCUACUAAAUAUAAAAUAGAUAACUAAUAAAAACCUGCUGUAAACCUGGGUAGUUCUAACUCAAUACUCUGUAAUGAUCUGUGUGGAGAAAGAUUCUAAAAAAAAAAAGAAUGGAUAUAUGUAUAUGUAUAAAUGAAUCACUUUGUGGUACAUCUCAAAACUAAUACAAUAUUGUAAAUCAACUUUUCUCCAAUAAAAAUUUAAAAAUAAAUACAGUAAAAUUUUAAGAAAACUAUUUUAGAUUGAAUGACAUUAUUUCUCCCUGUUUCCCACAGUCUCACCUAUAAAUGCUUUAAAAUGAAUUUAAAAAAUCAUUUUUUAUGAAGUGAAGAUUAACCGAGAUGUAAAGUUUGAGUUUAGUUAUACGGAAUAAAUAGGUUAAAGUCACCAGGGGCAGUGAGGAAGAACAUUCCACAUAGAGGGGAAAGCACGUAGGCAGAAGCAUAAGAGUGAAAGAAAAUGACACGCCCAGGAAAGUAGGAGAAAUUUGGUCUUUCUGGAGCACAAAGACAAGCGGGAGGGUGAUGGGGGAUGAGGUUGACAUGGUAACCUCAGGUUGUGAAGGACCUUAAUAUGUAAAGUAGAAGCACAGAUCUUAGGACUCCUAAUUUGAAGAAAUGACAUUGGACUACUUCAAUGGGUUAAUUUGUGGGCACAUGAAAAUAUUUUCUCAAUUACUUCUCUCCCUUCAACUUCUUCCUGUAUCAGGCUUAGAUGGCGAUGCGCACAUUGGAUCAUAUUCCUGUCUUCCUGUCUGGUAUGAAUUGAAAGACGCGUAGAACUAUUACACUUUGUUCCCACAAACAGUUGUGAUCGAAUGUCAUAUAAUUCCAGAGGCGAUGGGAGCUUCCUUCCGUGUUGAUACGGUGAACUCCCCGCAGGCGACUCCAGGCAGACAUGGUGCUUGGGCUGCCGCUACCAUUGCAAAUCUUCACGUUCCUAUCCAACUACAUCCUCACAAGCAGAUCUGUUCUUUUUACUGGAAAGGACCUGCUGUGCUCCAUUUGGUCACAGUCCUGACCCAUUUUGGAGGUCCCAUGAACUAGCACCUGCUAUCACUGAUGAACAUAGAUGUAAAAAUCCUUAAUAAAAUUCUAGCAAACAGAGUCCAACAACAUAUUUAAAAGAUCAUACAUCAUGACCAAGUGGGCUUUA
Molecule: long non-coding RNA, 3720 nt
Organism: Bubalus bubalis (water buffalo)
Lineage: Eukaryota; Metazoa; Chordata; Mammalia; Artiodactyla; Bovidae
Exons: 3
Source: RefSeq, a predicted model, not a curated record